UGCUAUGACGGGGAUCCGGCCUGAGAGGGUGAACGGACACACUGGAACUGAGACACGGUCCAGACUCCUACGGGAGGCAGCAGUAGGGAAUAUUGCUCAAUGGGGGAAACCCUGAAGCAGCAACGCCGCGUGGAGGAUGAAGGUUUUAGGAUUGUAAACUCCUUUUGUUAGAGAAGAUAAUGACGGUAUCUAACGAAUAAGCACCGGCUAACUCCGUGCCAGCAGCCGCGGUAAUACGGAGGGUGCAAGCGUUACUCGGAAUCACUGGGCGUAAAGAGCGCGUAGGCGGGAUAGUCAGUCAGGUGUGAAAUCCUAUGGCUUAACCAUAGAACUGCAUUUGAAACUACUAUUCUAGAGUGUGGGAGAGGUAGGUGGAAUUCUUGGUGUAGGGGGGUAAAAUCA
RNAcentral lists this ribosomal RNA (402 nucleotides) under Helicobacter pylori. RNAcentral's name for it is "bacterial SSU rRNA". It matches the Rfam family "Bacterial small subunit ribosomal RNA", at positions 272 to 689 of the family's 1533-position model. The record is from RNAcentral. Lineage: Bacteria; Pseudomonadati; Campylobacterota; Epsilonproteobacteria; Campylobacterales; Helicobacteraceae.